This 521-nucleotide ribosomal RNA is filed under the name uncultured bacterium. RNAcentral describes it as "bacterial SSU rRNA". It matches the Rfam family "Bacterial small subunit ribosomal RNA", at positions 988 to 1509 of the family's 1533-position model. The record is from RNAcentral.
CCAGAGAACUUAGCAGAGAUGCUUUGGUGCCUUCGGGAACUCUGAGACAGGUGCUGCAUGGCUGUCGUCAGCUCGUGUUGUGAAAUGUUGGGUUAAGUCCCGCAACGAGCGCAACCCUUAUCCUUUGUUGCCAGCGGUCCGGCCGGGAACUCAAAGGAGACUGCCAGUGAUAAACUGGAGGAAGGUGGGGAUGACGUCAAGUCAUCAUGGCCCUUACGAGUAGGGCUACACACGUGCUACAAUGGCGCAUACAAAGAGAAGCGACCUCGCGAGAGCAAGCGGACCUCAUAAAGUGCGUCGUAGUCCGGAUUGGAGUCUGCAACUCGACUCCAUGAAGUCGGAAUCGCUAGUAAUCGUGGAUAAGAAUGCCACGGUGAAUACGUUCCCGGGCCUUGUACACACCGCCCGUCACACCAUGGGAGUGGGUUGCAAAAGAAGUAGGUAGCUUAACCUUCGGGAGGGCGCUUACCACUUUGUGAUUCAUGACUGGGGUGAAGUCGUAACAAGGUAAGCGUAGUGCU